GAUGAACGCUGACAGAAUGCUUAACACAUGCAAGUCGAUGGGGAGGUGGUGCUUGCACCAUGGCAACCAUGGCGGACGGGUGAGUAACGCGUAAGGGACUUACCUGCAGGACUGGGAUAACAGGGGGAAACUCCUGACAAGACCGGAUAAUGUCAUGGAGCUGCAUGGCUUUAUGAUGAAAGGAGACGCCUGCGGAGAGCCUUGCGUCCUAUUAGCUAGUUGGUGAGGUAAUGGCUCACCAAGGCGAAGAUAGGUAGCCGGCCUGAGAGGGUGGACGGCCACAAGGGGACUGAGAUACGGCCCUUACUCCUACGGGAGGCAGCAGUGGGGAAUAUUGGACAAUGGGGGCAACCCUGAUCCAGCAAUUCUGUGUGCACGAAGAAGGUUUUCGGAGUGUAAAGUGCUUUCAGCAGGGAAGAAGUAAGUGACGGUACCUGCAGAAGAAGCGACGGCUAAAUACGUG
RNAcentral lists this ribosomal RNA (463 nucleotides) under uncultured bacterium. RNAcentral's name for it is "partial 16S ribosomal RNA". It matches the Rfam family "Bacterial small subunit ribosomal RNA", at positions 28 to 507 of the family's 1533-position model. The record is from RNAcentral.